RNAcentral lists this unclassified non-coding RNA (223 nucleotides) under Hevea brasiliensis (rubber tree). The record is from RNAcentral. Lineage: Eukaryota; Viridiplantae; Streptophyta; Magnoliopsida; Malpighiales; Euphorbiaceae.
CUCACUGCGUGGGGCUUCCAAGACUGCGCGCGGGACCCUAACAACGGCGCGUUUGGUGCCGCUCUACCCAGGUUGCUCUUCAGACACCUCCCCAGGCAUUACCCUGCGGACAACGUCUACGGCCUGUUCCCAUUCUUCACCCCUGAGGUCACGAAGAAGAACUUGACGAAGCUGCAUCUUGUUGACCAGUACCAGUUCAACCGCCCGGUUACCAAGCCCGUGG